CUUAGAGUUUGAUCCUGGCUCAGGAUGAACGCUGGCGGUAUGCUUAACACAUGCAAGUCGAACGGUGUCUUCGGACAUAGUGGCGGACGGGUGAGUAACGCGUGAGAAUCUAGCUUCAGGUCUGGGACAACCACUGGAAACGGUGGCUAAUACCGGAUGUGCCGGAAGGUGAAAGGCUUGCUGCCUGAAGAUGAGCUCGCGUCCGAUUAGCUAGUAGGUGGGGUAAGAGCCUACCUAGGCGACGAUCGGUAGCUGGUCUGAGAGGAUGACCAGCCACACUGGGACUGAGACACGGCCCAGACUCCUACGGGAGGCAGCAGUGGGGAAUUUUCCGCAAUGGGCGAAAGCCUGACGGAGCGAUACCGCGUGAGGGAGGAAGGCUCUUGGGUUGUAAACCUCUUUUCUCAGGGAAGAACACAAUGACGGUACCUGAGGAAUCAGCAUCGGCUAACUCCGUGCCAGCAGCCGCGGUAAUACGGAGGAUGCAAGCGUUAUCCGGAAUGAUUGGGCGUAAAGCGUCCGCAGGUGGCUGUGUAAGUCUGCUGUCAAAGAGCAAAGCUCAACUUUGUAAAGGCAGUGGAAACUACACGGCUAGAGUGCGUUCGGGGCAGAGGGAAUUCCUGGUGUAGCGGUGAAAUGCGUAGAGAUCAGGAAGAACACCGGUGGCGAAGGCGCUCUGCUAGGCCGCAACUGACACUGAGGGACGAAAGCUAGGGGAGCGAAUGGGAUUAGAUACCCCAGUAGUCCUAGCUGUAAACGAUG
RNAcentral lists this ribosomal RNA (762 nucleotides) under uncultured bacterium. RNAcentral's name for it is "bacterial SSU rRNA". It matches the Rfam family "Bacterial small subunit ribosomal RNA", at positions 1 to 811 of the family's 1533-position model. The record is from RNAcentral.